This 301-nucleotide ribosomal RNA is filed under the name uncultured bacterium. RNAcentral describes it as "partial 16S ribosomal RNA". It matches the Rfam family "Bacterial small subunit ribosomal RNA", at positions 509 to 807 of the family's 1533-position model. The record is from RNAcentral.
CAGCCGCCGCGGUAAAACGAAGGGUGCAAGCGUUAAUCGGAAUUACUGGGCGUAAAGCGCGCGUAGGUGGUUUGGUAAGAUGGAUGUGAAAUCCCCGGGCUCAACCUGGGAACUGCAUCCAUAACUGCCUGACUAGAGUACGGUAGAGGGUGGUGGAAUUUCCUGUGUAGCGGUGAAAUGCGUAGAUAUAGGAAGGAACACCAGUGGCGAAGGCGACCACCUGGACUGAUACUGACACUGAGGUGCGAAAGCGUGGGGAGCAAACAGGAUUAGAUACCCCAGUAGUCCCUGUCUCUUAUAC